CCCAGGCUUGAACAGCGAGUGACAAACUACGAAAGUGGUCUUCCGCAAGGACACUCGUAGAGGUGCUGCAUGGCUGUCGUCAGCUCGUGUCGUGAGAUGUUGGGUUAAGUCCCGCAACGAGCGCAACCCUUGUCUUCUGUUGCCAUCAGGUCAAGCUGGGCACUCUGGAGAGACUGCCGGUGAUAAACCGGAGGAAGGUGGGGAUGACGUCAAGUCAGCAUGGCCUUUAUGUCUGGGGCUACACACGUGCUACAAUGGCAGGUACAAACCGUCGCGAGACCGCAAGGUGGAGCUAAUCGGAGAAAGCCUGUCUCAGUUCGGAUUGUAGGCUGCAACUCGCCUGCAUGAAGUUGGAAUCGCUAGUAAUCGCGGAUCAGCACGCCGCGGUGAAUACGUUCCC
This 400-nucleotide ribosomal RNA is filed under the name uncultured soil bacterium. RNAcentral describes it as "bacterial SSU rRNA". It matches the Rfam family "Bacterial small subunit ribosomal RNA", at positions 974 to 1375 of the family's 1533-position model. The record is from RNAcentral.